Long non-coding RNA from Magnolia sinica, 1023 nucleotides. RefSeq lists it as uncharacterized. The record is from RefSeq and is a predicted model, not a curated record. The transcript is spliced from 3 exons. NCBI's taxonomy places the organism in Eukaryota, Viridiplantae, Streptophyta, Magnoliopsida, Magnoliales, Magnoliaceae.
CUCUCUCUCUCUCUCGCUCUCUCUCAGCCCACGGCUUCUCUCCGACCGAUAGAGAGAGAGAGGACGGUUUACUCGGAAACCAUGCCUCUGCAAUCUCUCGCCUCUGCCUCGCCUUCUCUCUCCCGAGAAAAACCCAACCCCCCUCUUCCCUUCCUCUCUCAACGGUCUCCUCUCGCCCCAUGAAACCCUCGAUCUCUCUCCUAUCUAUAAUGGCGAUGAUGGUGAGAAGAUGAUGAUGUGAUCUGGUCCGUUAGUCUCCAUUUUCAUGGCAUCCAAAACCCGGCAACAACCACCAGCUUGUUAGAUGCCUUCAAUCUCAUUCUAGAUGAUGCUUGGAACUUCGUUGUUUUGUUUGAGAGCUACAACAACAUCUACUACAACAAUGCUAAAGAGAAGCUCUUCAAAAAUCAAUUUGUUUUUGGCACCUUCGACGCCAUCGGUUACGAAGUGAAGCACAGAUAUUCAUACUUCAAUUGAAACUUUUAAGAUUAACCUGCGUAGCUGAUCUUUAUGCAACUUUGAUAUGGAUGUCCUGCCCUGGCGAGUAGUUUAUUUUGUCCAUAAUACACAGUGACAGUGAAGAUGUUCUCUGGCAAGCAUGACACAAAAAGAGCUUAAUAUGUUUACCGGUGAGUGCAUGAUUUUGUUUUCAGUUCUUAUCUAAUAAAUUAUUUUGAUUUUUACAACCAAUGUGGCUUGGCUAUUUCCAGCACAAUGAAAUUGGCCUUUCAGUAAUAUUCUACAGAUACAAUGGUAUUCCCUUAUCAACUUUGUUUUUAACAGUAUUUCCAGUCUUCCUUUAGAGUCAUAGAUUCUGCUCAAUUUUUAUCCUUGGAUUCAAGUCUUAGUGUGGGGAAGAAAAUGUGGAUCUUUUCUCUUUUGCUAUGGAACACUUCCUAACAUUCAUGUGCCCGAACAUGCACAAGAGAGGUAUGCACAACCACAUUCAGUCACAGGCAUGCAUGUGCCCGUACAUGCACAAUAGAGGCAUGCACAGCCACAUUCAGCCACAGGCAUGCAUGU